UAAACGGUAGCACGGGAGGCAUCCUGGUGGUUAGUGGCGAACGGGUGAGUAAUAUAUCGGAACGUGCCCCAGUCGUGGGGGAUAACGCAGCGAAAGCUGUGCUAAUACCGGCAUACGAUCUACGGAUGAAAGCGGGGGAUCGCAAGACCUCGCGCGAUUGGAGCGGCCGAUAUCAAGAUUACCUAGUUGGUGGGGUAAAGGCCCACCAAGGUCGACGGAUCUGUAGCUGGUCUGAGUAAGUGACGACCCAGCCACGACGUGGAACUGAGGACACGGUCCAGACUCCUAACGGGAGGCAGCAGUGGGGAAUUUUGGACAAUGGGCGCAAGCCUGAUCCAGCAAUGCCGCGUGCAGGAUGAAGGCCUUCGGGUUGUAAACUGCUUUUGUACGGAACGAAACGGUGAGCUCUAAUAAAGUAUGCUAAUGACGGUACCGUAAGAAUAAGCACCGGCUAACUACGUGCCAGCAGCCGCGGUAAUACGUAGGGUGCGAGCGUUAAUCGGCAAUUACUGGGCGUAAAGCGUGCGCAGGCGGUUAUGUAAGACAGAUGUGAAAUCCCCGGGCUCAACCUGGGACCUGCAUUUGUGACUGCAUAGCUAGCAGUACGGUCAGCAGGGGGAUGGAAUUCCGCGUGUAGCAGUGAAAUUGCGGUUAGCAUUGCGGGAGGGAACCACCCGAUUGGCGAAAGGGCAAUCCCCCUGGGACCUGGUACUGACCGGCUCUUGCCACGAAAAGCGUGGGGGAGCCAACGGGAUUUUCCUUACCCUGGUGUCCACGCCCUAAGAUUUACUGGUUGUGGGUUUUCACUGGUCCGUAACGACAGCAACCGGGAAUU
Molecule: ribosomal RNA, 835 nt
Filed under: uncultured beta proteobacterium
Lineage: Bacteria; Pseudomonadati; Pseudomonadota; Betaproteobacteria
Description: bacterial SSU rRNA
Rfam family: Bacterial small subunit ribosomal RNA
Source: RNAcentral